This 349-nucleotide ribosomal RNA is filed under the name uncultured bacterium. RNAcentral's name for it is "partial 16S ribosomal RNA". It matches the Rfam family "Bacterial small subunit ribosomal RNA", at positions 338 to 701 of the family's 1533-position model. The record is from RNAcentral.
CCUACGGGUGGCAGCAGUGGGGAAUAUUGGGCAAUGGAGGAAACUCUGACCCAGCAACGCCGCGUGAAUGAUGAAGGUCUUCGGAUUGGAAAGUUCUUUUCUAAGGGAAGAAGAAAGUGACGGGAGCGUAGGAAUAAGCCUCGGCUAACUCCGUGCCAGCAGCCGCGGUAAUACGUAGGAGGCGAGCGUUAUCCGGAAUGACGGGGCGUAAAGGGUGCGUAGGUGGGUUGGGAAGUUAGUAGCGUAACUCCAAGGCUCAACCUUGGAACUCCUACUAAAACGGUUGGACUUGAGUGCAGGCGGGGCAACCGGAAUUCCUCGUGUAGCGGUGGAAUGCGUCGAUCUUAGG